RNAcentral lists this transfer RNA (81 nucleotides) under Blumeria graminis f. sp. tritici. It matches the Rfam family "tRNA". From Rfam's summary of the family: Transfer RNA (tRNA) molecules are approximately 80 nucleotides in length. Their secondary structure includes four short double-helical elements and three loops (D, anti-codon, and T loops). Further hydrogen bonds mediate the characteristic L-shaped molecular structure. tRNAs have two regions of fundamental functional importance: the anti-codon, which is responsible for specific mRNA codon recognition, and the 3' end, to which the tRNAs corresponding amino acid is attached (by aminoacyl-tRNA synthetases). tRNAs cope with the degeneracy of the genetic code in two manners: having more than one tRNA (with a specific anti-codon) for a particular amino acid; and 'wobble' base-pairing, i.e. permitting non-standard base-pairing at the 3rd anti-codon position. Lineage: Eukaryota; Fungi; Ascomycota; Leotiomycetes; Helotiales; Erysiphaceae. The record is from Rfam by way of RNAcentral. RNAcentral also lists the same sequence under 1 other name.
GGGUGCUUGGCGCAAUGGUAGCGCGCGGUCCUCCUACAUGGGUACAGACUGAGGUUGAGGGUUCGAGUCCCUUGGUGCUCG